AUUUCGAAAAAAAAGUAGUGAUUAUUCAUGUUGAAGUAUGAUCAGGUUUGUAGAUUGUCUGAAACUGAAAGUGAAACUAAAAUGUAGUUCAUCGUACCAACAAGCUCGAUUAAAUUUCUCAGGUGUUAAUUUUACAUAGAUUUCUACGUGUGCUUCUUUACAGAUUGAGGUGUGGUACAGCAAAUCGUGUCAUUUUUUAAAUCGUGUUUUGUCAAUUUGAAAUCAGCGUUUUCAUUGUGAAUUAAGGAAAUAUGCAAGGCGGAGACGAAGAAGACGUAGGUUUUGGGUGCAGAGAAAAAGAAGAAUUAAAAAGGACAUCAAAGACUGAAAUUAAAGCAAAAAGUUCUAAAAGUAUUUUAUCAGGAGCUUAUGAUGAUGAAGUUUAUUCAAUGCAGA
Molecule: long non-coding RNA, 396 nt
Organism: Parasteatoda tepidariorum (common house spider)
Lineage: Eukaryota; Metazoa; Arthropoda; Arachnida; Araneae; Theridiidae
Source: RefSeq, a predicted model, not a curated record